UAAGACGUAGGGGGCCAGCGUUGUUCGGAAUUACUGGGUGUAAAGGGUUCGUAGGCGGUGUGGCAAGUUGGGAGUGAAAUCUCUGGGCUCAACUCAGAGGCUGCUUCCAAAACUGCCGUGCUGGAGUGUGGGAGAGGCGCGUGGAAUUGCAGGUGUAGCGGUGAAAUGCGUAGAUAUCUGCAGGAACACCCGUGGCGAAGGCGGCGCGCUGGACCACUACUGACGCUGAGGAACGAAAGCUAGGGGAGCAAACAGGAUUAGAUACCCUGGUAGUCCUAGCCCUAAACGAUCAGGACUUGGGGUGCCACCCGUUCGGGUGUCGUCCCGGAGCUAACGCGUUAAGUCCUGCACCUGGGGAGUACGGUCGCAAGACUGAAACUCAAAGGAAUUGACGGGGGCCCGCACAAGCGGUGGAACAUGUGGUUCAAUUCGACGCUACGCGAGGAACCUUACCUGGGCUCGAAAUGCUUCUGACCAGCUGUGGAAACACGGCCUUCCCGCAAGGGACAGGAGUAUAGGCGCUGCAUGGCUGUCGUCAGCUCGUGGCCGUGAGGUGUUGGGUUAAGUCGCGCAACGAGCGCAACCCCUGUCCUUAGUUGCCAUCAGGUAAAGCUGGGCACUCUAGGGAGACAAACCCUCUCUGAGGGUGGGAAGGUGGGGAUGACGUCAAGUCAGGAUGGCCCUUACGGCCUGGGCUGCACACGUGCUACAAUGCUCGGUACAGAGGGACGCAAGACCGCGAGGUGGAGCAAAUCCCAAAAACCGAGCCCAGUUCAGAUUGCAGUCUGCAACUCGACUGCAUGAAGCCGGAAUCGCUAGUAAUGGCGUAUCAGCUACGACGCCGUGAAUACGUUCCCGGGCCUUGUACACACCGCCCGUCACGUCAUGAAAGCCGGUUUUGCCCGAAGUGCGUUUGCCAACCAGCAAUGGAGGCGGCGCCCUAAGGUGAGGCUGGUGAUUGGGAGCG
This 967-nucleotide ribosomal RNA is filed under the name uncultured bacterium. RNAcentral describes it as "bacterial SSU rRNA". It matches the Rfam family "Bacterial small subunit ribosomal RNA", at positions 521 to 1482 of the family's 1533-position model. The record is from RNAcentral.